AAGAAAAUGAUUUCACAAAAAUAGAGUGUUCAUGUAGUUGCAUUUCAUUUAGGAUCGAGUCUAGAGUGUUUCAUUUAGGAUUGUUGCAUAUGCAUAGGGGAUAAUGAUGAGAUAGCCUUGUAAGCAUUUUGGUUCACCGGAUAAACUCAGUGCCCUCGUUGCUAGUUGUCUGUUGCGUAGUCAAUGAAAUUGAAGUAAAACUGAACCAUGCCUAGAUUGCUCUACUCGACCACACUGUCAUGAUCUGAUACCAUUCCCUAUCAAUUUGAACCUGAAUUUGAU
RNAcentral lists this small RNA (282 nucleotides) under Arabidopsis thaliana (thale cress). RNAcentral describes it as "ATSL158530". The record is from RNAcentral. Lineage: Eukaryota; Viridiplantae; Streptophyta; Magnoliopsida; Brassicales; Brassicaceae.